This 421-nucleotide ribosomal RNA is filed under the name uncultured bacterium. Its description in RNAcentral is "partial 16S ribosomal RNA". It matches the Rfam family "Bacterial small subunit ribosomal RNA", at positions 355 to 792 of the family's 1533-position model. The record is from RNAcentral.
UGGGGAAUAUUGCACAAUGGGCGAAAGCCUGAUGCGGCAACGCCGCGUGAGUGAUGAAGGUCUUCGGAUUGUAAAGCUCUGUCUUUUGGGACGAUAAUGACGGUACCAAAGGAGGAAGCCACGGCUAACUACGUGCCAGCAGCCGCGGUAAUACGUAGGUGGCGAGCGUUGUCCGGAUUUACUGGGCGUAAAGGGUGCGUAGGCGGAUGUUUAAGUGAGAUGUGAAAUACCCGGGCUUAACUUGGGUGCUGCAUUUCAAACUGGAUAUCUAGAGUGCAGGAGAGGAGAAUGGAAUUCCUAGUGUAGCGGUGAAAUGCGUAGAGAUUAGGAAGAACACCAGUGGCGAAGGCGAUUCUCUGGACUGUAACUGACGCUGAGGCACGAAAGCGUGGGUAGCAAACAGGGUUUAGAUACCCUGGUA